This is a long non-coding RNA of Oncorhynchus tshawytscha (Chinook salmon), 343 nucleotides long. NCBI's taxonomy places the organism in Eukaryota, Metazoa, Chordata, Actinopteri, Salmoniformes, Salmonidae. The record is from Ensembl.
CACAUGUUGGUGUCUCUCCCAAUCUACAGAGUGCUGUACAGCCCAAUACCCAGUCUAAUGACUGAAUAGGGGAGACUGGGGUUCCACAUGUUGGUGUCUCUCCCAAUCUACAGAGUGCUGUACAGCCCAAUACCCAGUCUAAUAACUGAACAGGGAGACUGGGGAAAGGGGUUCCACAUGUUGGGGUCUUGGUUUUACAGGUGAAUGUGUGUAUUUUACAGGUGAAUGUGUGUAUUUUAUAGGUGAAUGUGUGUAUUUUAUAGGUGAAUGUGUGUAUUUUAUAGGUGAAUGUGUGUAUUUUACAGGUGAAUGUGUGUAUUUUAUAGGUGAAUGUGUGUAUUUU